RNAcentral lists this unclassified non-coding RNA (299 nucleotides) under plant metagenome. RNAcentral describes it as "partial contains 5.8S ribosomal RNA, internal transcribed spacer 2, and large subunit ribosomal RNA". The stretch from base 1 to 105 matches the Rfam family "5.8S ribosomal RNA", at positions 50 to 154 of the family's 154-position model. The record is from RNAcentral.
GAAAUGCGAUAAGUAAUGUGAAUUGCAGAAUUCAGUGAAUCAUCGAAUCUUUGAACGCACAUUGCGCUCGCCAGUAUUCUGGCGAGCAUGCCUGUUCGAGCGUCAUUUCAACCAUCAAGCUCUGCUUGCGUUGGGGAUCCGCGGCUGCCCGCGGUCCCUCAAAAACAGUGGCGGGCUCGCUAGUCACACCGAGCGUAGUAACUCUACAUCGCUAUGGUCGCGCGGCGGGUUCUUGCCGUAAAACCCCCAAUUUCUAAGGUUGACCUCGGAUCAGGUAGGAAUACCCGCUGAACUUAAGC